UACGGGGGGGGCAAGCGUUGUUCGGAAUUACUGGGCGUAAAGGGCGUGUAGGCGGCCGACUAAGUCCGACGUGAAAUCCCCAGGCUUAACCUGGGAACUGCGUCGGAUACUGGAUGGCUUGAAUUCGGGAGAGGGAUGCAGAAUUCCAGGUGUAGCGGUGAAAUGCGUAGAUAUCUGGAGGAAUACCGGUGGCGAAGGCGGCAUCCUGGACCGACAUUGACGCUGAAGCGCGAAAGCUAGGGGAGCAAACGGG
Molecule: ribosomal RNA, 253 nt
Filed under: uncultured bacterium
Lineage: Bacteria
Description: partial 16S ribosomal RNA
Rfam family: Bacterial small subunit ribosomal RNA
Source: RNAcentral